RNAcentral lists this ribosomal RNA (510 nucleotides) under uncultured bacterium. RNAcentral's name for it is "bacterial SSU rRNA". It matches the Rfam family "Bacterial small subunit ribosomal RNA", at positions 29 to 518 of the family's 1533-position model. The record is from RNAcentral.
AACGAACGCUGGCGGCGUGCUUAACACAUGCAAGUCGAACGCGAAAGGGGCUUCGGUCCUGAGUAAAGUGGCGCACGGGUGAGUAACGCGUAGAUAACCUGUCUUCAUGUCUGGAAUAAUACGCCGAAAGGGGUACUAAUACCGGAUAUCUUGCUUUUCAUAAGUUAUGCAAGCAAAGGUGGCCUCUGCAUAUGCUACUGCAUGAAGAGGGGUCUGCGUACCAUUAGCUAGUAGGUGGGGUAAUGGCCUACCUAGGCGACGAUGGUUAGCGGGUCUGAGAGGAUGAUCCGCCACACUGGCACUGGAACACGGGCCAGACUCCUACGGGAGGCAGCAGUGAGGAAUAUUGCGCAAUGGGGGAAACCCUGACGCAGCGACGCCGCGUGAGUGAGGAAAGGCCUUCGGGUCGUAAAGCUCUGUCAAGAGGAAAGAAGUGUACAAUGGCUAAUACCUGUUGUAUUUGACGGUACCUCUAAAGGAAGCACCGGCUAACUCCGUGCCAGCAGCAGC